UACGAGUGGUCCAAGCGUUAUCCGGUUUUAUUGGGCGUAAAGGGUCCGCAGGUGGUUUGAUAAGUCUGGUGUUAAAUCCUGGCGCUCAACGUCAGGGCCGCAUCGGAAACUAUUAGACUAGAGGCCGGGAGAGGCAGAUAGAAUUGUCGGUGUAGUAGUAAAAUGCGUUAAUAUCGACAGGAAUACCAAAGGCGAAGGCAUUCUGCUAGAACGGUUCUGACACUCAGGGACGAAAGCGUGGGGAGCGAAUGGG
This 253-nucleotide unclassified non-coding RNA is filed under the name Patescibacteria group bacterium. RNAcentral's name for it is "contains 16S-23S intergenic spacer region". It matches the Rfam family "Bacterial small subunit ribosomal RNA", at positions 524 to 776 of the family's 1533-position model. The record is from RNAcentral.